UGGGGAAUAUUGGACAAUGGGCGAAAGCCUGAUCCAGCCAUGCCGCGUGUGUGAAGAAGGUCUUCGGAUUGUAAAGCACUUUAAGUUGGGAGGAAGGGUUGUAGAUUAAUACUCUGCAAUUUUGACGUUACCGACAGAAUAAGCACCGGCUAACUCUGUGCCAGCAGCCGCGGUAAUACAGAGGGUGCAAGCGUUAAUCGGAAUUACUGGGCGUAAAGCGCGCGUAGGUGGUUUGUUAAGUUGGAUGUGAAAUCCCCGGGCUCAACCUGGGAACUGCAUCCAAAACUGGCAAGCUAGAGUAUGGUAGAGGGUGGUGGAAUUUCCUGUGUAGCGGUGAAAUGCGUAGAUAUAGGAAGGAACACCAGUGGCGAAGGCGACCACCUGGACUGAUACUGACACUGAGGUGCGAAAGCGUGGGGAGCAAACAGGAUUAGAUACCCUUGUAGUCCCUGAGCGGGCUGGCAAGGCGCAU
This 472-nucleotide ribosomal RNA is filed under the name uncultured bacterium. RNAcentral's name for it is "bacterial SSU rRNA". It matches the Rfam family "Bacterial small subunit ribosomal RNA", at positions 355 to 825 of the family's 1533-position model. The record is from RNAcentral.